Molecule: long non-coding RNA, 794 nt
Organism: Anoplophora glabripennis (Asian longhorned beetle)
Lineage: Eukaryota; Metazoa; Arthropoda; Insecta; Coleoptera; Cerambycidae
Exons: 2
Source: RefSeq, a predicted model, not a curated record
AGACAUCCGAUUGUGUAACUAACAUCUGCAGCCAAGCUCCAGUUUUUUUUGUACAUACUUUUUCUUCUUAGUCCUACAAAUCUCUUUUAAAAAGAGAUUAACGGACAGGCUAAAUUUACGGACAGGCUAAAUUUAAGGACAAACUAAAAUUUAAGGAUGGGCCAGAAUUGAGGGCAAUAUGGUUUUUUUUAAUUUAAAUUCUAAGUGGAAAACGUCUUCCGUGCUGUUUCUCCAGUUCCCGAGUCCCAAUCUAGGCGCAGAUAUACCGCUCCACCCAAUUUAGGACCUGACGUCGCCAUUUUCCUCCAUCCACAGGACUCGACCAUUUCAUCGAGAAGCCGCCAGGACAGAUAAGAACUUUUUUUAUACUCUCUAUCCUUUUAUGAAUCAGUCAAAGUAAGACAGAAAUACAUAUUACCUACAUAAAUUUUUAUAUAAGCGUUAUAAUAAUCUUUUGAUGAAACAUACUCAAUGCACGCAUUUAUAAAUAUCUAUAUAUAAUAUGUUUAUUUAAAAUAUGAAAUUGUUACGCUAAAGCAUAGUACUAUGAAUAAGCGAGAUUUGGAGUAACUCCAAUAACAUAAACGUGUUCUUUAUCCUAAUUACAUAUUGUUUCUCAAAUUAAUAAUCGCUUGGAACAUUAAAUUAAUCACUUUAUAACCCUAUCAUUCUUUAGUAGGUAUUAUAUAUCUGAUUUCACUAAUACGAAUUAUUUCUUUAUAAAAUGUUCUUAUAUUUGUCUGAAGCGAAUAACCAUUGGUCUGAGAUUUAGAAUAAAUAUUUUUGUUUUUUUA